AAAGCCUCACAAGUUUUUAUUUGGCUUCUUAAUAAAAGCCGUAAAACUAGUGGAAUUGGAUUUGCGAUUCGAAUAGAAUUGCUAAUCUGAAAUAAAUUUCAUGAAGCCAAAAUGCUUCAAAUCUUUGCUUAAUAGUUUUGCUUUGCAAAUCUUUUGCAUCGGUUUAAGUGAAAAAGGUGGAUUGAUUUUUUACGAAAUACUCAAAAAUCUCAUU
This 214-nucleotide unclassified non-coding RNA is filed under the name uncultured Umbelopsidomycetes. RNAcentral describes it as "sequence contains ITS2". Lineage: Eukaryota; Fungi; Mucoromycota; Umbelopsidomycetes. The record is from RNAcentral.